GAUGAAGAACGCAGCGAAAUGCGAUAAGUAGUGUGAAUUGCAGAAUUCCGUGAAUCAUCGAAUCUUUGAACGCACAUUGCGCCUUCUGGUAUUCCGGAAGGCAUGCCUGUUCGAGAGUCAUUAACAACCGUUUCGAUCCCUUUCUUUCAGAAAUUACAAAGAGGAAAAGGGUUUGGUUAUGGUGGAGGAGGGAAAGGGAGCGUUUAGCCUGUAAAAAAAGAGGCUGUGUUCCGCCUCCCCCCCAAAAUUGUACAGGCGGUCGUGUGCGCCCAUGCAUCGAGGUGUUGUAAAAGCUGCCACGGCACUUUUCACCUGUGCAGUGCGAGAUUGGCCAGCCGGUUUAAAAACCCCUCCAAACAAUCAAAGGUUGACCUCGGAUCAGGUAGGGAUACCCGCUGAACUUAAGCAUAUCAAUAAGCGGAGGA
This 425-nucleotide unclassified non-coding RNA is filed under the name soil metagenome. RNAcentral's name for it is "partial contains 5.8S ribosomal RNA, internal transcribed spacer 2, and large subunit ribosomal RNA". The stretch from base 1 to 120 matches the Rfam family "5.8S ribosomal RNA", at positions 35 to 154 of the family's 154-position model. The record is from RNAcentral.